GGAGAGAUGCGAGAGAGGCUGAAUCGGCGUGACUGGAAAUCACGUGAGGGGGUAACUCCUCCGGGGGUUCGAAUCCCCCUCUCUCCGCCA
RNAcentral lists this transfer RNA (90 nucleotides) under Acidobacteriota bacterium. RNAcentral's name for it is "Acidobacteria bacterium tRNA-Ser". It matches the Rfam family "tRNA". From Rfam's summary of the family: Transfer RNA (tRNA) molecules are approximately 80 nucleotides in length. Their secondary structure includes four short double-helical elements and three loops (D, anti-codon, and T loops). Further hydrogen bonds mediate the characteristic L-shaped molecular structure. tRNAs have two regions of fundamental functional importance: the anti-codon, which is responsible for specific mRNA codon recognition, and the 3' end, to which the tRNAs corresponding amino acid is attached (by aminoacyl-tRNA synthetases). tRNAs cope with the degeneracy of the genetic code in two manners: having more than one tRNA (with a specific anti-codon) for a particular amino acid; and 'wobble' base-pairing, i.e. permitting non-standard base-pairing at the 3rd anti-codon position. RNAcentral also lists the same sequence under 2 other names. The record is from RNAcentral. Lineage: Bacteria; Pseudomonadati; Acidobacteriota.